Thamnophis elegans (Western terrestrial garter snake) is the source of this 697-nucleotide long non-coding RNA. RefSeq lists it as uncharacterized. The transcript has 2 exons. NCBI's taxonomy places the organism in Eukaryota, Metazoa, Chordata, Lepidosauria, Squamata, Natricidae. The record is from RefSeq and is a predicted model, not a curated record.
AAAAGAGGAUCAUGUCACCCCGGGACACCGACACCAUCAUAAAUAUGUUUGCUGAAGGAAGGAAAAAAAUGAACAGACCUCUUCCUACAGAAGUGAGAGUUGUAUGUGUCAGGAGAGAGAAAUAAGAUGAAUGUAGCAGGCAUGGCGUAGUUAAGCAUUAUAUGUGCUAAAAGAACAGAUUGUGUCAAAAUGAAUAGGUGAUAAAUAAAUGUGAAGGGACUGACCAUAAUGAAAGAAUUGUUUUGACUGGUUUAGUCAUAUUGAAAAUGAAUGAAGAUUAGAUUACAAAUCAAAUAUACAAAGGGGAAAAAAAUGAAAUGGAUGGGAUGGAAGGGGGAAAUUGAGAAGGCUGGAAGGAGAUGAUGCAUGGCUUAAAAGGGAGGGAUGGAAAAUGUAAAGAACAAAAGGCGAUGGAUAAAAGCAAGUAUGAAUAUGAUGGAGACAAGAUAAUUUGCAAAGGUGUGGUAUUAGGGUAAACUAGAUCUCUGUGUUUUAUUUUUCUGACUUCAUGUUUUUAUUUGGCUAUUUCUUUGUUCUCUUUUUCUGUUAUUUGUAUAAUGUUGCUUAACCCCAAAAUGGCAUACCAUGAAGACACAUAUGCAAUUAUGUUGAUAUUAUUUUUAAAAAUAUCACUAAGUGUCUGCAUUUGAGUACUAUCCUAUACAUGUCUAUUCAAAAGUAAACUCUCUGUAUCUGA